UUGAUCAAUGAUACACUUAAUGAGCUUAUUGCAAUAUGCAAGCGGAUGGUAGAUGAAGAAGAGCUACAGUUUCAUGAGGAAUACGUGAAUGAACAAGAUCCAAGUAUUCUUCACUUCCUGUUGGCAUCAGGAGAUGACGUUUCUAGCAAGCAACUUCGGGAUGACUUGAUGACAAUGCUUAUAGCUGGACAUGAAACAUCAGCUGCAGUUUUAACGUGGACAUUUUAUCUUUUAUCCAAGGAGCCAAGUGUCAUGUCCAAGCUCCAAAAUGAGGUUGAUUCUGUUCUAGGAGAUCGAUUUCCAACUAUAGAAGACAUGAAGAAACUCAAGUACACAACUCGAGUAAUUAAUGAAUCUUUGAGGCUCUAUCCUCAACCGCCCAUUUUAAUUCGUCGUUCUUUAGAGAAUGAUAUGCUUGGAAAGUACCCCAUAAAAAGGGAUGAAGAUAUAUUUAUUUCUGUCUGGAACCUGCAUCGAAGUCCUCAUCUAUGGGAUGAUGCCGAAAAGUUCAACCCUGAAAGAUGGCCUUUAGAUGGACCCAACCCAAAUGAGACCAACCAAAAUUUCUGUUACUUGCCCUUUGGUGGAGGACCACGGAAAUGUGUAGGGGACAUGUUUGCGUCAUUUGAGACUGUUGUUGCUGUUGCCAUGCUUGUUCGGAGAUUCAACUUUCAAAUGGCAUUUGGAGCACCUCCAGUUAAGAUGACAACAGGAGCAACAAUCCACACAACAGAAGGGUUAAAGAUGACGGUCACACAAAGAAUGAAACCUCCCAUAAUGCCAAUGUUGGAUAUGCCUGCAGUGACAGUAGAGGCACCUGUUAAUGUUUCCAGUGAGGAACCCAAGCUUGGUCAGAAAGGUGAAGUUUCUACUGCCCAUUCCUAAUUGCUAAAGCCUUGGUGCAUUUCAGCAAUACAGCAUCAGAUACAUAUCAUGGAAAGGUAAUAGAGGGGAAAAAAAAAAAAAAAAACCAAUUUAGGC
RNAcentral lists this unclassified non-coding RNA (981 nucleotides) under Hevea brasiliensis (rubber tree). The record is from RNAcentral. Lineage: Eukaryota; Viridiplantae; Streptophyta; Magnoliopsida; Malpighiales; Euphorbiaceae.